RNAcentral lists this small RNA (125 nucleotides) under Marmota monax (woodchuck). Lineage: Eukaryota; Metazoa; Chordata; Mammalia; Rodentia; Sciuridae. The record is from RNAcentral.
GCUGGGCAUGGUGGCGCAUGCCUGUAAUCCCAGCAGCUCAGGAGGCUGAGACGGGAGGAUCGAGGGUUCAAAGCCAGCCUCAGCAAUGGUGAGGCGCUAAGCAACUCAGUGAGACCCUCCCUCUA